GGUUAAUGAGAAGCUCAGAGACACACCUUUGAAUGUAAAACAGGCAAAUGAGUUCAGCUAUGACAACUACUAUAAAGCUGAUAGGCCAGUGGUCCGUGGUAACGGCAGCAGCAGCACAGUGUGUGUCUCCUCUACACACACUUUGCAUAAUUACACAACUAUUCACAUCUACUUCUUCUUUCCUCCACCGAGCUCCGGGUCAACAUCAACUGGUCGAUGACAGGAGCACCUCUUUGCUUCCAGAGAGCAACAGGGCGCAGACGUCCUAUCCAUGACAACGGGGCGUUGUGAGCAAGCCCCGCCCACUGACAGCUGCCUCAUUGUGUGCUGAGCCUCCGAAGCGGUUUGUUCCUCUUUGCUUGGACAGUUCAAUAACUAAUCUCAAUGCAGCCAGCAGCCUGUGGUUUUGAAAAUGAAGAGGGCAGGCCCGAUGGAAAGUCCUGAUUGGCGUGGCGGUGUUGGGUGUUGUUUGUGUGUGUGUGUGUGUGUGUGUGCGUGCGUGUGUGUGUUGGGUAAUUGGAAGGUUAUAUUGUCAGUUCACAUGAGCGUUCAGGGCCAGGACAGGGAGAACACACCCUGGCUGCACAAAUAGAGUAAGACAACACUGUUAAAGUUCAAAUGGACUUUGGUGUUAAGCUUAUAAUGGGUUUUUAUAAUGGGACGCUUUUCUUUUUAACUGUUAAAAUGUAUUUUGCCAAAAGUUGUGCACAGGCCUGAUGGAUAGUAUUAUUAAACUCGCCUAAUUAAACUGUGAAUAUUUAUCACAUUAAUUACAUUUUUCAUUCAGCCUCCGCAGAAUCCUUUGGUUUGUAAUCAAUAAUGAAAUGUGAGAAAGGGCAGCCGUAGUUUGGUCUCCAUCCUUGAGUUCAUCCAUCCGUCUGUCACAUCUGAGAUCAGUGGGGAUGAUGCAUCAACAAAGAGCACGUCCUCUCUGACAUAACGUGCUGCUUUAUGGACCGCGUUGACCUGUCGAUCCAACGGUUGCUGCCAGUGACAUCACACACCGGCCCCCACGAGCUUUUGGAUCCCGCUGAUGUGACCGCACACGGGCCACGCGAGCAGCCCCCCGCCCCCCCGUCCCCAAACCCUCGCUCCCUCCCUCCGUCACAUGUAAGCUGACGAACAGCAGGCUCGUGUUCUCGAUGGAGGAGCCUUUUGGGCCACAAGAACCAUGUGUACUCACCACUUUCUGCUUGGACACACGCAAACAAUGGGACACGUCUGGAGUGCUUGGGGCCCAGACCCCGAGGAAGGGCAGAUGGUGCCCGGGAUCGAGCACCACAACCCUAUUAACAUGAGAAAAGAGAGGGACAGAGGCGGGGGGGGGGAAGAGGGGACAGGUACCCUCUCUCCUAUUUUCCCCUCUUGCUUAGACGUUAGAGAGGGGGGGCGACUCAUAGUCUGUGGUGCGGAUGUGAAACUCAAUUAGGGGAAAAGCUGUCAAUUCAAGAGCAGACAAUAUUGAAUGUGAGGAUUCUGUUUAUAUUUAAGAGAGUCCCAUCUAUUCUUACUCAUAUUCAAGACCUGCAGCUCCUGACUUAUUUAGAAUGUUUUCAUUUUGCAUGAGAAAAAUUAUUUUCCUACAUAGAUUGAAAGCUAUAUUUUUUAAUACAACGUUAUGGAAAAAAAUGUGAAGAUUUGAAGAUUUAACUGUUUUGUUAUGUGCGUGUCUACUGUUCAUCUGGAUUAUCUUUUAAUUUUUAAUGAAUGAGUCAAAUGAUGGAGCUUUCUUCCAUUCAAUUAUGAUCUUUAUUUGAAAUGUCAGCAAGUGGUUG
Long non-coding RNA from Gasterosteus aculeatus aculeatus (three-spined stickleback), 1775 nucleotides. The record is from Ensembl. NCBI's taxonomy places the organism in Eukaryota, Metazoa, Chordata, Actinopteri, Perciformes, Gasterosteidae.